UCCUACGGGGGGCUGCAGUGGGGAAUAUUGGACAAUGGGCGAAAGCCUGAUCCAGCCAUGCCGCGUGAGUGAUGAAGGCCCUAGGGUUGUAAAGCUCUUUCAACGGUGAAGAUAAUGACGGUAACCGUAGAAGAAGCCCCGGCUAACUUCGUGCCAGCAGCCGCGGUAAUACGAAGGGGGCUAGCGUUGUUCGGAUUUACUGGGCGUAAAGCGCACGUCGGCGGACUAUUAAGUCAGGGGUGAAAUCCCGGGGCUCAACCCCGGAACUGCCUUUGAUACUGGUAGUCUCGAGUCCGGAAGAGGUGAGUGGAAUUCCGAGUGUAGAGGUGAAAUUCGUAGAUAUUCGGAGGAACACCAGUGGCGAAGGCGGCUCACUGGUCCGGUACUGACGCUGAGGUGCGAAAGCGUGGGGAGCAAACAGGAUUAGAUACCCCAGUAGUC
This 441-nucleotide ribosomal RNA is filed under the name uncultured Hyphomicrobiales bacterium. Its description in RNAcentral is "bacterial SSU rRNA". It matches the Rfam family "Bacterial small subunit ribosomal RNA", at positions 337 to 795 of the family's 1533-position model. Lineage: Bacteria; Pseudomonadati; Pseudomonadota; Alphaproteobacteria; Hyphomicrobiales. The record is from RNAcentral.